AGAGUUGAUCAUGGCUCAGGAUGAACGCUAGCUACAGGCUUAACACAUGCAAGUCGAGGGGCAGCAUCAGGUUAGCUUGCUAACCUGGAUGGCGACCGGCGCACGGGUGAGUAACGCGUAUCCAACCUUCCCCCUGCUCAGGGAUAGCCCGGUGAAAACCGGAUUAAGACCUGAUAGUUUCACUAGAUGGCAUCUGACGGUGAAUAAAGGUUUCGGCAAGGGAUGGGGAUGCGUCUGAUUAGCUUGUUGGCGGGGUAACGGCCCACCAAGGCGACGAUCAGUAGGGUUCUGAGAGGAAGGUCCCCCACAUUGGAACUGAGACACGGUCCAAACUCCUACGGGAGGCAGCAGUGAGGAAUAUUGGUCAAUGGGCGGAAGCCUGAACCAGCCAAGUAGCGUGCAGGAAGACGGCCCUAUGGGUUGUAAACUGCUUUUGUGCGGGAAUAAAGUCAGGGACGCGUCCCUGUUUGCAUGUACCGCAAGAAUAAGGACCGGCUAAUUCCGUGCCAGCAGCUGC
RNAcentral lists this ribosomal RNA (517 nucleotides) under uncultured bacterium. Its description in RNAcentral is "bacterial SSU rRNA". It matches the Rfam family "Bacterial small subunit ribosomal RNA", at positions 8 to 518 of the family's 1533-position model. The record is from RNAcentral.